This is a long non-coding RNA of Rhineura floridana, 1160 nucleotides long. RefSeq lists it as uncharacterized. The record is from RefSeq and is a predicted model, not a curated record. The transcript is spliced from 3 exons. NCBI's taxonomy places the organism in Eukaryota, Metazoa, Chordata, Lepidosauria, Squamata, Rhineuridae.
UGUGGAGAAGCAACCCUAUUGUGUCAAAGGGUAACAUUUUCAUUUGUUACUCCAGCCACUUUUGCGCCUGGCUCUGCCCACCAUUGGCAUAUGGACCCCGAAAGGUUUCCCAGGAGGGAAUGUGGCCCUUGGGCUAGAAAAGUCUCCUCUCCUCUGUGAUGGAGAACCAGAUCUGAGAGGAAGGACUGCAGCCGAGCAUUUCCCCUGAUAUUUUCGUUUCCAUUUGUGUCGGAAUCUUCUUUGGUAAAGGAGCAUCCCGUUAGGAGAAGCUGGCCAUUGCUGUCCCCAACACACUGUAAGAUGCCUGGCCUUGGCUGUGUGAGAGCCACAUGAACAGGAUCCCCUGGUGUCCUCACCUCCAGCCGGCUGUGUGAGCUCCAGCCUCUGUGCUGAAGACCCCAGGGACUGGAAGGUCACAUUCAUGAGCCCAGAAAGAGACUGACGCCUCAGAGAAGGGGAAUGUGCCCAGCCCAACAGCCUGCCUUGAUUUCCAAGGAGCAGCUGCCCUGUCUCAAUUUCCCUCUCUGUCCCGUGGGAGCAAAGGAGGUCCAAGGCAUUAAGUAAGAAGACGACCUUUGCAUUGUGAGGCUCAGCUUUAUUUGUGGGUUUGAACCAAAGAAGUUGGCCAGAUGACAGAAAGGUGGUGGCUGAGCUGACUCUAGCGGACGAUCCGUGCAGGAGUCAAUCGCAAGACUGGAGCAAACCACAAGAUGGAGUGAUUGUCAUUCCUGCGUGAUGACCGGGCUGUAUUCUACUCCCUUAUUCAGGCAUACAGUGUGCAUCAGAAUAACAAGCCCUGUGCGUCAUGACACAGCAACGCACACCAUCACCAAGCUUGCUUGAGCUGACUGGCUGCCGGGACCAGGGCAGGUAUGGUUUCACAUCAAGGUGAUUUCAGUCACCAAGGGAAAUGAAAAAGAGAUUUAAAUCAUCCUCUUUGUAAUUUAUACAUUUCCGGAGGAAGCAGACAUCAUAACUGGUUGAGAAAACUAUCAAACCUUUUGGAGUGUGCUCCUGGGAACCAGGAUGCGUUUCGUUUUUGCAACUUUUCUGUGAAGCCUUUCGAGUCUUUUGGGACAAAUCCCUCCUCUCAAUAUCUUAUUGUUAUUAAAUGAAAUUUUGUGAAACUUGAAAUAACCGCAUAUUUUCUCACUAUAUGC